This 217-nucleotide unclassified non-coding RNA is filed under the name uncultured fungus. RNAcentral's name for it is "sequence contains ITS1". The record is from RNAcentral. Lineage: Eukaryota; Fungi.
UUGAUUCAUUUAUAGUUGUUUACUCAGAAGAUACAAGAAAAACAAAGAGUUUAUAGGGCCACCGGCCGACCUGCUCCGCUCCUUACGAAACGGGACUUCGAAGGAAGCCAGUCUGCGCCGAGGCAACAAUAGAGAAGAAUUCACAAAGGGUUUCUGGGUAGCACCCGUGAGGGCGUUUGUUCCAGCAAUGAUCCCUCCGCUGGUUCACCAACGGAGA